CGAAUCCUGCGAUGCGCGUCACGGCGCCUGAUGUUUUGAACCAACGUCUGUUUCGAAGGGAGUCCUACAUUGCCCGGCGGCUGGCACGCCCCCGAAAGGGGAAGCCAAAAACCGGGUUGCGGACACCCACCUGCGGAGAGCGGGUUCAGAAACAGUCUCGCCGGACGGCAAAGCGGGUUUUCU
Molecule: non-coding RNA, 183 nt
Filed under: Paenibacillaceae bacterium ZCTH02-B3
Lineage: Bacteria; Bacillati; Bacillota; Bacilli; Caryophanales; Paenibacillaceae
Description: 6S RNA
Rfam family: 6S / SsrS RNA
About the family: E. coli 6S RNA was the first non coding RNA to be sequenced, but its function was unknown until recently. It consists of 184 nucleotides that fold into an extended hairpin structure with a large single-stranded internal bulge. The 6S RNA specifically associates with RNA polymerase holoenzyme containing the sigma70 specificity factor.
Source: RNAcentral